UACGAAGGGGGCUAGCGUUGUUCGGAAUCACUGGGCGUAAAGUGUGCGCAGGUGGCCGCGCAAGUCGAGUGUGAAAUCCCCGAGCUUAACUUGGGAAUUGCGCUCGAAACUACGUGGCUCGAGUGUGGCAGAGGAAGGUGGAAUUCCACGUGUAGCGGUGAAAUGCGUAGAGAUGUGGAGGAACACCGGUGGCGAAGGCGGCAUCCUGGACCAACACUGACGCUGAGUGAGCGAAAGCCAGGGGAGCAAACGGG
RNAcentral lists this ribosomal RNA (254 nucleotides) under uncultured bacterium. RNAcentral describes it as "partial 16S ribosomal RNA". It matches the Rfam family "Bacterial small subunit ribosomal RNA", at positions 524 to 776 of the family's 1533-position model. The record is from RNAcentral.